CUGCAACGAUGCAACUGUAUUUACUGCAACUGAACUGCAAACUGUUGUUUCAAAAAGAAAAGAAACAACACAAACACAUGAUGGAAAUAUGACUACACUAGUGUAAGGACAAGAAAUGAUAACAGAAUAAGCCCCCCGUAUAUUUUUCAAGUUAUUUCAUUUCAUAUGUUAAGAGGUUAUUAUGUCCAGUUUUUGUAUGUAUUGUAUAUGCAUUGUUCUGUGUAGCAGUGUAGCUCACAAAAUAGUAUCUGUGCUCCAGUUUCUGUGAUGAGAAGUGGCACAUACAGAGAGGUGUGGUUUCUCCUUUUGGCCACAAGGUGGAGUAUCUGCUAAAUUGAGCACUGUUGGGCAAACUAUUGUGUUUUUUUAUUGAACCUUUCCUUCUUUUUUUUUUUAGAUUGACAGCUAAGGAGCAGGAUCAACUCAGAACUCUAUGGGAGACAUGCUUGAUUCCAUAGCGUCGUAAUGAAACGCUAACUUAAGAUAUUAGUGUUGACCCCUGACCCUGAUGUGAGGAGGAGGACUACGCCUGGCAGAAACAGGAAAGCUUUGAUGUCAACACAGAUGCUUUUGGUGGAGUUGCUCCUGAACAAAGACACACUGAUUUAAAAGCCUUUGUGUUCAUCCCGUGACUUGGUACAUUCCACUCCUCCCCUCUGUGUCGAUCUAUUUGGAAUGUUCCACUUCCCUUGUCGGCGCUUUCUCAGACGGAAACAGGAAGAGAACGCGGAACAGCGGGAACAAACGUGAUACCCUUCUCCAAACAUAUGCAGGUGCAGGAGGACCUGGCUGACCUGGAGGAGGACGAGGACGAGGACGAGGAGCAGCGCGGACAAAUGUGUGGUAACUGAUGCUUAAAAAUGAUCCACACAUUUAUUAGACGUUCUGUUGAUGCUCUGUUCACACCUGCUGUUAACAUCUGAUCCGAGUCAUCCGAUCACAGUUGUUCAGAUUACACCUGCUACUGCUAUUGCUAAUAUCACGUCAAAUGAUGAUUCUCAAAUGUCUUUUUUUAUCCACCAACCAAAAAUUAUUCAGUUUUAAUUCCUUCUUUGUUACAAGGAACAAUGAAAACGGGAAAUGUUCAACAUUUAUAAUAAAAAACAAACAAUUAAUCCAAUAUUAAAGUAUUUGACAAUUCAUUUAGUAAUCGUUUAAUAAUGCUGUAAUCGUUGCAUCCCUACUUUAUAUAUAUAUAUAUUUUUUUAAAUCAUCAGAGACACAGCAGCGCUAGUGAAAGUGACCACUUGGCACCAUCUAGUGGACUGAGAGGUUCAUUUAUUUUGUUUAUUUGUAAUGCUAAUCCACAAAAAAGUUUGACGUUUAUUUAUAACAUCAGUUCAAAACAUUGUUAUGGAACAAACCAUGACUCUUUCACCUGUCAUUUCAUCACCUCACACGGACGAUGUUAACAGCACUUGUCAACAGAGCCUCUGUUUAAUGUGUGCACAUUAUUUUUACAUUGUUAACAGGUGAAAACUAGGGACCACUCAAAGUCACAAAAUUCUAUCAAUAAAUACACCAUUCAAUAAUUACUACAAUGUGCCAUUCAUUCAUUGAUUCAAAUUGGAAUUAAAUACAUACACGUCUUAUUAAAUGUGACAUUCAUUUGUUCAAAUACCAAUUAAUUUGAUGUAAAAAACAACAUAUAGAAUGACUUGACUGUUGAAUGAAUGAUUUCAUGGUCCUAUGUUGCAGUGCAUCAUCAGUUGAUUUGAUGCUGAUGGGUGACUUUGACACUUUAAAUCAAUUCAUGAUGCACUGCAACACAGGACCAUGACAUCAUUCAUUCAAAAGUCAAGUCAUUAGAUAUGUUUUGUGUUUUGUUUUUUUACCUCAAAUUGGUAUUUGAAUGAAUGAAUGUCACAUUUAAUAAGACGUGUAUGUAUUUCAUUCCAAUUUGAAUCAAUGAAUAAAUGUCACAUUGUAGUCGGUGUAUUUAUUUAUUGAGUGAAUUUUGUAACUUUGAGCGCUCCCUAGUUUUCACCUGUUAACAAUGUAAAAAUGAUGUGCACACAUUAAUCCCACAGAAGUCUAAUUGAUGUGCUGAUCAUUUUUAAGCAUCAGUUGCUGGACACCGGUACCCCGACUGUGUGGUCAACAGUCCAGAGAGUGGACCCCUGUCAAAUUUUUUUUGUGUGUUUUUAUGGGAUUUCUUGGGGGAAUUUUUUUUGGGAAAAAAUGUGAAAUAAAAUGGUAUAACCCCCUGCUGUCAUCUGUGCAGGGGGCCGGGGGAGCACAGCCCAGCCCCGGCCCCAGUUUGGCCCCGGCGCCGGGGCCAAGUGUUCGGAGCAUGCUGGAUUUGAACCAGCCACAGCCGGACUGGCACAACCUCCUCGCGGUUGCGAACCAACCCACCACGCCACAAACCCUUUUGAGGUGUUGGGACGGAGCUCCGGGCGUUUUUGAGUCUUCACUUUGGCUGUGGAACCUUAAACCUUGACAUAUAAAGGAAUUGAACCGUCAACGUCAGGACUGAAAGGCUGCUCUCUAUCCAGCUGAGCUAUCUGUCCACACUCUUCUGCAGCUUUUGUCACACCUAUUCACUCUCUGUGUAGAAUAUUGGGCUUAAGAAGUUGCUUCAUCUAAGAUUUGAACCUCUGACCCCAGGAACUCCAGUCUUUGUCUGAACCACGUGAGCUAUUUGUCCUCACAC
This is a long non-coding RNA of Solea solea (common sole), 2656 nucleotides long. RefSeq lists it as uncharacterized. Lineage: Eukaryota; Metazoa; Chordata; Actinopteri; Pleuronectiformes; Soleidae. The transcript has 4 exons. The record is from RefSeq and is a predicted model, not a curated record.